GACAGUCAGUUACAGAACUGGGAACAGACCUGGCCUCCUGACUCUGGGUCUAAUGAUCUACCCCCUCCAUCAAGUGAGAUGAGGCAACUGACCUCGGAGGAGAGUUUGAAUUAUUUGCAAAGUAAGCAAUCUGAAGGAAGAAUUCUACCUUAUUCAUCUUUCCAUCUCAAGGGUCUGGCACACAGCAGACACUCGGCAUUAUUAUCUCAAGAGCUCUCAGAGCGUGGUCCCCAGAGCGGCAGCAGCAGCAUCACAUGGGAACUUGUUAGAAAUGCAAGCUUCCAUGCUCCACCCCAGACCUCCUGACUCAGACACACCAAGUACAGGGCCCAGCAACCUAUGUUCUAACAAGUGCUCCAGGAGGUGCUGGUGCACAAGAAAGUGGAUGGGAGCAAUCCGAUUCAUCUGUGAACCCUGGAGAUGGCAUCUGUUUGGCCCUGGAGUCCGCUGCCUAAACCUGGAGCUCAGUCUGAAGUCAGCAUGGUCUGUGCCUGCUCCAGUGUCCCUCCUACAGAAUCACACAGCUCUACAGUCCCCACCCUCCAUCGUGCCUCCCUGUGUAUCAUUACAUCACCAAACCCAUCCCUGAGAGCAGCGCCUCUAGAGAUUCACGUCCCCCACCAUGCACGCUACACGGCAGAUGGCAAUAUGAACCCCAACAGUGUAAUUUAACCAGGAAGGCAGCAGACUGCUCCAAAAACCAGCUAGAAGGGGGAAUUCAAGACCCAAGGAGGAUGUCAGGGCAGGGCCAAGGCAGGACAAGAAUGACAGGAAGUGAACAAUGGUCCAAGGAACUCACUGGGAGGUUCUUAUUCAGGGCUGGCCACCAGCACAUGGCAUAGGAAGUUCCAGUCUCAGAAAAAGGCAGCAGAGAGAGGGGUGAUUUUGGCUUUUCAUGGUUCUCCCAACCAAGAUCAAAAUCACACCGGAGCUGGGGUAGACCUUGGUUAUCAGCCAAGGUUAAGGCUGAAGUAAGAGAGAAGAGGGGCAAAGUACCAUGAUACCUUUUCCCCCCAUUCCCCAUGGGGUGGUCCCACCUCUCUGAAGAUAUUCCAAAGACCCUGAACAUCUUUCUUCCAAGGCUCUCUUCCCUACCACCUUGCUCUUAACUCAUUUUUUAUUCCACUUUCUACAUCUCUACCUUUAUGAGUUACCUAUUGCUGUUUAACAAAGCACCAAAAUCUAGUGGCUGCAAACAACAAUAAUUUUCUGUGCACAAUUCUGCAGUUUGGGCUGAGCUCCGAUGGGAAGUUUUGUGCUGGCCUCACUGGGGGGCACUCAUGCAGCUGUAGUCUGAUAAAAUUGAGGCUCCAGAAAGUUGAGACAGAACUUGAACUAAGGUCUCCUGGCUCGUAACCUUCUAUACAACAUGCUGUCUACCAAUUGACUCGUUUCGGGAUAAUAUACUCAAUAAUUCAGCUACUUUGGCAAAUGCUGUUCUGUUAUCUACGUUGGAAAAGGCAGCAUGCCACUUUCCCUCCAUCUAGCUAGAACCAAUUUCUAAUACGAGCAUGCUCCAACAGAAGUGUUUCUGUGUUAACUAUCAUUAUUUCCAAGGUUGAGUCGAAACAUUCCAACAACUGGAUUUAUGUACAACAUGUACGCAGUGAAGGUGGGAAAAUGACCCCUGAUCCUCCUUGGCAUCAACACGCUUCAUUUAAUUGGGGGUUGGGAUGGCCAUGGGGUGAGUAUUUGGACUGGGUCCCUGUCUCCAGAAACUGCACAGUGAAGGCAGGGGAGCUGCUCUCCUCCUUGCUAGAAUUACAGGAAGGAAGGAGAUUUCACAUCUCUUAUAGGCGUCCCAUCCCAAAGACUAUAUUUCCCUCUGUGUUUUCACAGCCAGGAAAUCCCUCAUCAAAUCCAAAUAAAUCUUUCUCUUCUCUAAGCCCUCAUCUUGUUCUGUUUUCUAGGAGGAGCAGGAACAGCUGGUUGUUCCUAAGAAGCAGCAACCCCUGAAAUCUGCCCACCCCAGCACGCUGUGGGAUUCCAAAUAUUUAGUGUCAGACAUCUGAGUGUUAAUUACCUUACCGUGGCUCCCACAGGCAUGCUGAUGGGUGCAAAGCCAAGCUGGCUGAGCUAAGCAUUGCAGGAAGAGAAAGCAGAAAGCAGGUUCUGGCAUCCCCAGAGGGUCCUAACGUCACCCAGCUUCUCACACUUCGCCUGUUUGUUACCAUUCCUCACUCUACCCCAAUGCUCUGCAUCCACCACCCUCACCCAGACACCCACUCUGCAAAGACACACUCACGCAAAGAAAAACUCUGGGAUUGAGCUUUCACCCACUUUCUCAGCUUCCCUCCCACCCUGUCUCACCCCACCCUGAUCCAUUUAUUUCCUCUCGGGCGUUGGAAUGUUCCCUCCUCCCUUAGUCCAAAACUAAAGCCUCUUCUCUACAGCCGCAUGUCUUAUCUAGUCCCUUGCCCACAGCUAGGGUUUUCUGGGAACAGCUUUGCACAAUAAGUGCUUUCUCACAUAGCCCAUGGUAUUUUCCCAUGC
This is a long non-coding RNA of Orcinus orca (killer whale), 2493 nucleotides long. RefSeq lists it as uncharacterized. The transcript is spliced from 3 exons. Lineage: Eukaryota; Metazoa; Chordata; Mammalia; Artiodactyla; Delphinidae. The record is from RefSeq and is a predicted model, not a curated record.